This 72-nucleotide transfer RNA is filed under the name Synechococcus phage S-MS29. It matches the Rfam family "tRNA". From Rfam's summary of the family: Transfer RNA (tRNA) molecules are approximately 80 nucleotides in length. Their secondary structure includes four short double-helical elements and three loops (D, anti-codon, and T loops). Further hydrogen bonds mediate the characteristic L-shaped molecular structure. tRNAs have two regions of fundamental functional importance: the anti-codon, which is responsible for specific mRNA codon recognition, and the 3' end, to which the tRNAs corresponding amino acid is attached (by aminoacyl-tRNA synthetases). tRNAs cope with the degeneracy of the genetic code in two manners: having more than one tRNA (with a specific anti-codon) for a particular amino acid; and 'wobble' base-pairing, i.e. permitting non-standard base-pairing at the 3rd anti-codon position. Lineage: Duplodnaviria; Heunggongvirae; Uroviricota; Caudoviricetes; Pantevenvirales; Kyanoviridae. The record is from Rfam by way of RNAcentral.
GGGCGAUUAGCUCAGCGGUAGAGCUAUUGGUUUACACCCAAUCGGUCGGCGGUUCGAAUCCGUCAUCGCCCA